RNAcentral lists this long non-coding RNA (411 nucleotides) under Erythranthe guttata (spotted monkey flower). Its description in RNAcentral is "long non-coding RNA (EGUT_LNC002016)". Lineage: Eukaryota; Viridiplantae; Streptophyta; Magnoliopsida; Lamiales; Phrymaceae. The record is from RNAcentral.
CACAGAUAAAAUUAGAUUAAAUUUGAAUCAAUUAAAUUAGAUUUAUUCUAAAAGUACCCGAUAGAGAGAGCGGCUUUGCUGGUGGUCGUCGGAGAGCCGGGAGGCGCUGGUGGUGGUGGUCUUCGGAGAGCCGGGAAGCGCUGGUGGUGGUGGUCUUCGGAGAGCCGGGAGGCCUGGUUGCGAUGGUGGUGGUUGGAGAAUCGGGAGGCGCAAGUGGUGGUGGUCGUCGGAGAAUUGGGAGGCGCUGCUGGUGGUGGUGGUCGUCGGAGAGCCGAGAUGCGCUAGUGGUGGUGGUCGUCGGAGAACCGGGAGGCAGUGGUGGUGGUGGUCGUCGGAGAAGGCGCUGGUGGUGGUGGGGGAGAAAGAAAGGUAGGAUUGCUGAGAGAGAGAGAGUCGGGAAAUUAGGGUUUC